GGGUCAGUAGGUUGGUCGUGCCACCGGUACGUACUGGUCUCACUGAUUCCUCCUUCCUGAAGAACCGUAAUGCCAUUAAUUUGGUGUUGCGGGGAAACAGGACCGUUACUUUGAAAAAAUUAGAGUGUUUAAAGCGAGCUAACGCUUGAAUACAUUAGCAUGGAAUAAUGGAAUAGGACGAUCGAUCCUAUUUUGUUGGUUUCUAGGAUUGACGUA
This 216-nucleotide ribosomal RNA is filed under the name Glomeromycotina sp. Its description in RNAcentral is "partial small subunit ribosomal RNA". The stretch from base 40 to 216 matches the Rfam family "Eukaryotic small subunit ribosomal RNA", at positions 686 to 864 of the family's 1831-position model. Lineage: Eukaryota; Fungi; Glomeromycota. The record is from RNAcentral.